AGCGAACGUUUGCGGCGGGCCUAACACAUGCAAGUCGAACGCACUAGCAAUAGUGAGUGGCGCACGGGUGCGUAACACGUGGGUAAUCAACCCUUCAGCCUGGGAUAACGACUCGAAAGGGUCGCUAAUACCGGAUACGGCGCGAGAGGCUUCGGCUUCUCACGAGAAAGCCACGCAAGGGGCACUGAAGGACGAGCCUGCGGCCCAUCAGCUAGUUGGUGAGGUAAGAGCUCACCAAGGCUAAGACGGGUAGCUGGUCUGAGAGGAUGAUCAGCCACACUGGAACUGAGACACGGUCCAGACUCCUACGGGAGGCAGCAGUGGGGAAUAUUGCGCAAUGGGCGAAAGCCUGACGCAGCCACGCCGCGUGAGCGAUGAAGGCCU
Molecule: ribosomal RNA, 384 nt
Filed under: uncultured bacterium
Lineage: Bacteria
Description: bacterial SSU rRNA
Rfam family: Bacterial small subunit ribosomal RNA
Source: RNAcentral